GUUGAACGCUGGCGGCAGGCCUAACACAUGCAAGUCGAGCGGAUGAAGGGAGCUUGCUCCUGGAUUCAGCGGCGGACGGGUGAGUAAUGCCUAGGAAUCUGCCUGGUAGUGGGGGAUAACGUCCGGAAACGGGCGCUAAUACCGCAUACGUCCUGAGGGAGAAAGUGGGGGAUCUUCGGACCUCACGCUAUCAGAUGAGCCUAGGUCGGAUUAGCUAGUUGGUGGGGUAAAGGCCUACCAAGGCGACGAUCCGUAACUGGUCUGAGAGGAUGAUCAGUCACACUGGAACUGAGACACGGUCCAGACUCCUACGGGAGGCAGCAGUGGGGAAUAUUGGACAAUGGGCGAAAGCCUGAUCCAGCCAUGCCGCGUGUGUGAAGAAGGUCUUCGGAUUGUAAAGCACUUUAAGUUGGGAGGAAGGGCAGUAAGUUAAUACCUUGCUGUUUUGACUUUACCAACAGAAUAAGCACCGGCUAACUUCGUG
This 484-nucleotide ribosomal RNA is filed under the name uncultured bacterium. RNAcentral's name for it is "partial 16S ribosomal RNA". It matches the Rfam family "Bacterial small subunit ribosomal RNA", at positions 28 to 507 of the family's 1533-position model. The record is from RNAcentral.